RNAcentral lists this ribosomal RNA (226 nucleotides) under uncultured bacterium. Its description in RNAcentral is "partial 16S ribosomal RNA". It matches the Rfam family "Bacterial small subunit ribosomal RNA", at positions 109 to 334 of the family's 1533-position model. The record is from RNAcentral.
AGUAACGCGUGGGUAACCUGCCUUGUACUGGGGGACGAACAGUUGGAAACGACUGCUAAUACCGCAUAAGCGCACAGCUUCGCAUGAAGCAGUGCGAAGAACUCCGGUGGUACAAGAUGGACCCGCGUCUGAUUAGCUGGUUGGUGAGGUAACGGCCCACCAAGGCGACGAUCAGUAGCCGGCCUGAGAGGGUGAACGGCCACAUUGGGACUGAGACACGGCCCAA